GUGGAGUCGUGCUCGUGAGAGAGAAGGCCCGGGGAGCAGCUAUGCGUGUCAAGGAGUGCAUUCCACAGCCCAGGAGCGGCUACGGAGAAUGCCUACCUCUGAGUCGCUGCCAGAUGCACCAGUGGUAGCUGGAGAUGGACCUCCUCAGAUGAACAACAUGCGGUGAGGAUCAUGCAGAAGAAGACACUCUCUAAGAUAACCUGGACCUAAGCUGUCUAGCGCUUUAAAGGCACAUUGACAUUGAUGGAAGUUAUGCACAUGUUUAAAGAGGAGAAAGGAGCUUUAGAUCGUUUCCUGAUCAGAGUUUACGUAAGAUCAAAGGAGGCCUAACAGAAUGAAAGAAGAGCCAGAUGGCACUUUGUUGACGUUCUGUAAGACAGCACAUGAGAAUAGGAAAGAAUAUUUGGCAGCAUUUAAGGGGCACCCAAGCAAACAAAUCAUCUUCCAAGAAGCAAAUGUUGAUUUGUUUCCCUGCCCUUAGAAGUAGACCUUGGACCUGGAUUUUGGAUGCAGAACUGAAGCUGGUCUUUGAAUAAAGGUGUUUUAGACCAUGAAAUAUAAGGGCUGUUUUGCCCUUAUAAAAAAAGUAAUUUUCUGUAGGACAAGUUUCUUUGCUUCAUGACCACGUUAUUGUUUUUUGCUUUUAAAGCAUCAAAAUAUAAAGGAUCCCCCCAGCGUAAUUUAAGCUUCCAGGGGAAGAAAUGCUGCAUAAUGAAGGCCGCUAUGGGAGUCUUUGAUCCUUACCGUGACUGCUUUUGUGACAUUUUGACAUAAAGAACACAAGAUGCUUCCUGGAUGCUUUUUGCAUAUGUAAAACAACCACUUCUGAAUCUGCAGAGGAUCUGAAGAUGAUUAGGCCUCUCAUAAUCUGUUCCACCAUGUUGGCUGCAUUGUUUCAUUAGCCACACUAGCCCUAUCCACGCCUCAUGUUCAGCACUCAUACGACGGGUGCACAGUGUACACAGGUACAGAUCUGUACAUAGGUUACA
This is a long non-coding RNA of Hemicordylus capensis (graceful crag lizard), 989 nucleotides long. RefSeq lists it as uncharacterized. NCBI's taxonomy places the organism in Eukaryota, Metazoa, Chordata, Lepidosauria, Squamata, Cordylidae. The record is from RefSeq and is a predicted model, not a curated record. The transcript is spliced from 3 exons.